ACGCAGCGAAAUGCGAUAACUAAUGUGAAUUGCAGAAUUCAGUGAAUCAUCGAGUCUUUGAACGCACAUUGCGCCCCCUGGUAUUCCGGGGGGCAUGCCUGUCCRAGCGUCAUUGCUGCCCUCAAGCCCGGCUUGUGUGUUGGGUCGCCGUCCCCCU
Molecule: ribosomal RNA, 157 nt
Filed under: Aspergillus niger
Lineage: Eukaryota; Fungi; Ascomycota; Eurotiomycetes; Eurotiales; Aspergillaceae
Description: 5.8S ribosomal RNA
Rfam family: 5.8S ribosomal RNA (bases 1-112)
About the family: 5.8S ribosomal RNA (5.8S rRNA) is a component of the large subunit of the eukaryotic ribosome. It is transcribed by RNA polymerase I as part of the 45S precursor that also contains 18S and 28S rRNA.
Source: RNAcentral